Molecule: ribosomal RNA, 1500 nt
Filed under: metagenome
Description: bacterial SSU rRNA
Rfam family: Bacterial small subunit ribosomal RNA
Source: RNAcentral
AGAGUUUGAUCAUGGCUCAGGAUGAACGCUAGCUACAGGCUUAACACAUGCAAGUCGAGGGGAAACGAUAUUGGAAGCUUGCUUCCGAUAGGCGUCGACCGGCGCACGGGUGAGUAACGCGUAUCCAACCUGCCCACCACUUGGGGAUAACCUUGCGAAAGUAAGACUAAUACCCAAUGAUAUCUCUAGAAGACAUCUGAAAGAGAUUAAAGAUUUAUCGGUGAUGGAUGGGGAUGCGUCUGAUUAGCUUGUUGGCGGGGUAACGGCCCACCAAGGCAACGAUCAGUAGGGGUUCUGAGAGGAAGGUCCCCCACAUUGGAACUGAGACACGGUCCAAACUCCUACGGGAGGCAGCAGUGAGGAAUAUUGGUCAAUGGACGAGAGUCUGAACCAGCCAAGUAGCGUGCAGGAAGACGGCCCUAUGGGUUGUAAACUGCUUUUAUAAGGGAAUAAAGUGAGAGUCGUGACUCUUUUUGCAUGUACCUUAUGAAUAAGGACCGGCUAAUUCCGUGCCAGCAGCCGCGGUAAUACGGAAGGUCCGGGCGUUAUCCGGAUUUAUUGGGUUUAAAGGGAGCGUAGGCCGGAGAUUAAGCGUGUUGUGAAAUGUAGACGCUCAACGUCUGCACUGCAGCGCGAACUGGUUUCCUUGAGUACGUACAAAGUGGGCGGAAUUCGUGGUGUAGCGGUGAAAUGCUUAGAUAUCACGAAGAACUCCGAUUGCGAAGGCAGCUCACUGGAGCGCAACUGACGCUGAAGCUCGAAAGUGCGGGUAUCGAACAGGAUUAGAUACCCUGGUAGUCCGCACGGUAAACGAUGGAUGCCCGCUGUUGGUCUGAAUAGGUCAGCGGCCAAGCGAAAGCAUUAAGCAUCCCACCUGGGGAGUACGCCGGCAACGGUGAAACUCAAAGGAAUUGACGGGGGCCCGCACAAGCGGGGGAACAUGUGGUUUAAUUCGAUGAUACGCGAGGAACCUUACCCGGGCUUGAAUUGCAGAGGAAGGAUUUGGAGACAAUGACGCCCUUCGGGGCCUCUGUGAAGGUGCUGCAUGGCUGUCGUCAGCUCGUGUCGUGAGAUGUUGGGUUAAGUCCCGCAACGAGCGCAACCCCUAUCUUAUGUUACCAGCACGUUAUGGUGGGGACUCAUGAGAGACCGCCGCGGACAACGCGGAGGAAGGUGGGGAUGACGUCAAGUCAUCGUGCCCCUUAUGACCUGGGCUACACACGUACUACAAUGGGUGUCAACAAAGAGAAGCGAAACCGCGAGGUGGAGCGAACCUCAAAAACACACCCCCAGUUCAGAUUGCAGGCUGCAACCCGCCUGCAUGAAGUAGGAAUCGCUAGUAAUCGCGGGUCAGCAUACCGCGGUGAAUACGUUCCCGGGCCUUGUACACACCGCCCGUCACACUAUGAGAGUCGGAAACACCCGAAGCCGGUGAGGUAACCGCAAGGAGCCAGCCGUCGAAGGUGGAGCUGAUGAUUGGAGUGAAGUCGUAACAAGGUA